GAUGAAGAACGUAGCGUAAUGCGAUAAGUAAUGUGAAUUGCAGAAUUCAGUGAAUCAUCGAAUCUUUGAACGCACAUUGCGCCCGCCAGCAUUCUGGCGGGCAUGCCUGUUCGAGCGUCAUUUCAACCCUCGAGCCCCCCCGGGGGCCUCGGUGUUGGGGGACGGCACACCAGCCGCCCCCGAAAUGCAGUGGCGACCCCGCCGCAGCCUCCCCUGCGUAGUAGCACACACCUCGCACCGGAGCGCGGAGGCGGUCACGCCGUAAAACGCCCAACUUUCUUAGAGUUGACCUCGGAUCAGGUAGGAAUACCCGCUGAACUUAAGCAUAUCAAUAAGCGGAGGA
This 343-nucleotide unclassified non-coding RNA is filed under the name soil metagenome. Its description in RNAcentral is "partial contains 5.8S ribosomal RNA, internal transcribed spacer 2, and large subunit ribosomal RNA". The stretch from base 1 to 120 matches the Rfam family "5.8S ribosomal RNA", at positions 35 to 154 of the family's 154-position model. The record is from RNAcentral.